AUUGACCGCUGGCGGCAGGCCUAACACAUGCAAGUCUAACGAGUGGCAGACGGGUGAGUAAUGUCUGGGAAACUGCCCGAUGGAGGGGGAUAACUCCUGGAAACGGUAGCUAAUAACGCAUACCAUCGGAUUUGCCCAGAUGGGAUUAGGUAUUAGGUGGGGUAAAGGCUGACCUAGGCGACGAUCCCUAGCUUGACUGAGAGGAUGACCAGCAAGACUGGAAAGGAGACACGGUCCAGACUCCUACGGGAGGCAGCAGUGGGGAAGAUUGCACAAGGGGCUGAAGCCUGAUGCAGCCAGUCCGCGUGUAUGAAGAAGGCCUUCGGGUUGUAAAGGACUUUCAGCGAGGAGGCGUUACCCGCAGAAGAAGCAACGGCUAACUCCGUGCCAGCAGCCGCGGUAAUUC
Molecule: ribosomal RNA, 406 nt
Filed under: uncultured bacterium
Lineage: Bacteria
Description: partial 16S ribosomal RNA
Rfam family: Bacterial small subunit ribosomal RNA
Source: RNAcentral